RNAcentral lists this long non-coding RNA (772 nucleotides) under Nicotiana benthamiana. RNAcentral's name for it is "long non-coding RNA (NBEN_LNC029681)". Lineage: Eukaryota; Viridiplantae; Streptophyta; Magnoliopsida; Solanales; Solanaceae. The record is from RNAcentral.
ACUAGCAAACUAACAAACUAAACUACAUUAGACGCAAUAUCACGCAAUCAUCUGGAAUAGAGUUGUGGGAAAUUUCCAUUUCACUACAAUUGAGGAGCUACAUGAAACAAUCAGAGAAGUGUACCUGGGUGCAGAAAUUCAACAAGAAGAAGAAGUCAGAAACAAAGCGAGCAGCAACCAAAUAACAGCCCAAAAAUGUUUAUGACGAUCCAGGAGGAUCUUAGAAAUCAGCCAAAAUCAUAAAAUCAAUCAACAUCCCCUGAAUGCAUUAACUAAAUUCCAAAAUCACCCAGGGCCUUUUCACUAGCCUCAAAGAAACAAGUUCAAUUCAAACACAUUGAUUCCAACUUCAGAUCAACCCAGAAAUGUUUAGAAAUGGAGCAAUAACAAUAGACCACUUCAUUACAUGAUUGAAAAAUCCAAAUGACCCCUAAUGAACCCAAUGUUAGACAAAAACUAUUCGAAACCACUCAGACCAACUAAAAACUGGACUAGAACCAUUUUUUAAAUUACCAAAUGGUAGACACAGCCUAAAAUAGUCCUGCUUGAACCCCAAAUUCCCUCACAAUCAAUAGACAAUACCCCCCAAAACGUUGAAUGAUCAGAAACCAAACUAAAAUGUAGGGCAAUAACUUGAAGAUAAAAUUCACACAGAAUUCCAAUCAAACAAUAUCUUUUCUUUGGUUAUCUGCAGUUUUGGAUUAUUUUUUGUUUAUUUUCUGUUGAAGAAUGCUAAGAUCUAAGGGGAUUUCAGAUCUGAAUUUCAGAUCUG